Molecule: long non-coding RNA, 899 nt
Organism: Ipomoea nil (Japanese morning glory)
Lineage: Eukaryota; Viridiplantae; Streptophyta; Magnoliopsida; Solanales; Convolvulaceae
Exons: 6
Source: RefSeq, a predicted model, not a curated record
CGCUUCUUCGCCUUGGGGUCAGCGUCAUCCUCGUCCAGAUCUGGAACCGUUUCUUCUUUCUCUUCUUCUCAGGAUCAUCUGCGUGCAUUUGAGGGAGGGAUGAGCGGAGAGGAAACACUGGUUGAAGCGGCGUUGCGGGUUCUGAACACGGCCGACCCGGUGGAGAAGUCCAAUCUCGGCGACAACGUCGCCAGGUGGCUCCAAGUGACUACUGCAGAGAAUGGGUUGAGGGCUUUGGAGUAUUUGGGGUUGUGAGAUGAACAACACAACACUUCAAAUGACAAUGUCAGCAGACAGGCAAAUCUGUCCCCAAUUUUUCCCUUGAGAUCACUUUAUGCUAGUUGUUUGGUCUUGAAUUUCGGAAGCCAUAAAUUUUCACACUAUUUGAGGUUGGGUGCUCAAACAUUGGCUGAUAUGACACAAGAAAUCAUGAAAAUAAAUGGGUUCUCAGAUGGUGAUGUUAAAUAUUGUCCUUUAUGCUAGUGGUAUAAGAUAGAGUGCUUCCAGAUAAAGCUUUUCUUUACUUGGAGCACAAGAAUGAAUGUGAGAGGAGGGUCAGUGGCUUUGACAUGGCAGCUCCACCUUCUGCUCGCCUACCUGGUGCCCCAGGAUUUGCAGAUCAUGUCUCAACGUGGAUGCUUGCGGUAAGAAGUUACAUCGUAGCCUAGCUGACCGGUGACCAGGUAGGAUUCAUCAAAUCCGUUGGUCUAACCAGGCUUGCUGUUGGCGAAUAGUAGCUAAUCCCGUUAGGGUUUAGGUUGCUAAGUUAGGGUUUGUGUUGUUGUAUUCUAGUUGUGAUCUUCCCUGUGACUUUCUUGUUGUUUAGAUUGCCUGCGUGCCUUUAGCUAGACCAGUGUGCCAUUUUGUUUAUUGCGUUUUCAGUUGUAUUUUCUUGAAUA